AGUGAACGCUGGCGGUAGGCCUAACACAUGCAAGUCGAACGGCAGCACAGUAAGAGCUUGCUCUUACGGGUGGCGAGUGGCGGACGGGUGAGGAAUACAUCGGAAUCUACUUUUUCGUGGGGGAUAACGUAGGGAAACUUACGCUAAUACCGCAUACGACCUACGGGUGAAAGCAGGGGAUCUUCGGACCUUGCGCGAUUGAAUGAGCCGAUGUCGGAUUAGCUAGUUGGCGGGGUAAAGGCCCACCAAGGCGACGAUCCGUAGCUGGUCUGAGAGGAUGAUCAGCCACGAUGGAACUGAGACACGGUCCAGACUCCUACGGGAGGCAGCAGUGGGGAAUAUUGGACAAUGGGCGCAAGCCUGAUCCAGCCAUACCGCGUGGGUGAAGAAGGCCUUCGGGUUGUAAAGCCCUUUUGUUGGGAAAGAAAAGCAGCAGGUUAAUACCCCGCUGUUCUGACGGUACCCAAAGAAUAAGCACCGGCUAACUUCGUG
Molecule: ribosomal RNA, 492 nt
Filed under: uncultured bacterium
Lineage: Bacteria
Description: partial 16S ribosomal RNA
Rfam family: Bacterial small subunit ribosomal RNA
Source: RNAcentral